AGGUGCGAUCCUACCAGCAAUAAUGCAUCGGAUCCCAUCAGAACUGCAUAGUUAAGCCUGCUUUGGCGAGAGUAGUACUAGGAUGGGUGACCUCCUGGAAAGUCCUCAUCAUGCACCUC
RNAcentral lists this ribosomal RNA (119 nucleotides) under Lupinus angustifolius (narrow-leaved blue lupine). The record is from RNAcentral. Lineage: Eukaryota; Viridiplantae; Streptophyta; Magnoliopsida; Fabales; Fabaceae.